AUAUUUAUGUUUAUUUGAUAAUUACGGGUGAGAUGUUACGUUGCGCAUCUCGAGUGUUUUUUGUUUACCCAUGAGCCCACUUAUGACGUUGCUGUGCGGUUGAGGCCUCGUGUGUGAAUCCACUUCGCAGGGAAUAUUUGUGUUGUCGACCUUUCACAGAAGUGGCAGUUAUUGGGCACAAGUCUUUACACUCAUGAAGGUAUGUUUAAGGAUAUUGAGUGGUUUCAAAUUAAUAUCAGAAGAGGAUAAUCCUCAUUAAUAUUGAUAAAUACACGGAACAUGAGUUUGUUGUGUUGGCGUCGGCCAUAAUUUGGAGUGUUUACUUUUCAUAUGCGUUUCAGCCAGUGUUAUGUCCAAUGGGCUGUGGAUUGGAUUUGUGCCGUAACUGAGAUUAUACGUGACGGUAACUACUGGGAAUCAUGGAUUGUGAUAGUGUGGCCAUUGAAGUUGAAACUUUGCUCCAAUAAAAGACUGUUGCAGCUGAUGGCUUUUCCUUGAUCUCCCAGUACAUUUCAACUUCAUCGCCAUGGGUGUGCAAGGGGACCUCAACGCCCUCAAGAAACAGAGGGGAACUGCUAAAGGAAAGUUCACCAGGAAGCCAGUGUUAUGUCCAAUGGGCUGUGGAUUGGAUUUGUGCCGUAACUGAGAUUAUACGUGACGGUAACUACUGGGAAUCAUGGAUUGUGAUAGUGUGGCCAUUGAAGUUGAAACUUUGCUCCAAUAAAAGACUGUUGCAGCU
This 739-nucleotide unclassified non-coding RNA is filed under the name Penaeus monodon (black tiger shrimp). Its description in RNAcentral is "uncharacterized LOC119583550, transcript variant X1". The record is from RNAcentral. Lineage: Eukaryota; Metazoa; Arthropoda; Malacostraca; Decapoda; Penaeidae.